UAAACUCAAAGGAAUUGACGGGGGCCCGCACAAGCAGCGGAGCAUGUGGUUUAAUUCGAAGCAACGCGAAGAACCUUACCAGGUCUUGACAUCGAUGUAAGCCUGUAGAGAUACAGGGUGCCUUCGGGCAAUUGAAGACAGGUGGUGCAUGGUUGUCGUCAGCUCGUGUCGUGAGAUGUUGGGUUAAGUCCCGCAACGAGCGCAACCCUUAUGGUCAGUUACUAACGGGUAAAGCCGAGGACUCUGACGAGACUGCCGGGGUCAACUCGGAGGAAG
This 276-nucleotide ribosomal RNA is filed under the name uncultured Caloribacterium sp. Its description in RNAcentral is "partial 16S ribosomal RNA". It matches the Rfam family "Bacterial small subunit ribosomal RNA", at positions 896 to 1172 of the family's 1533-position model. Lineage: Bacteria; Bacillati; Bacillota; Clostridia; Thermoanaerobacterales; Thermoanaerobacteraceae. The record is from RNAcentral.